GGUCUUUGGGGCAGGGUGAAAAUCCCGACCGAUGGUAUAGUCCAUGACCCGCCUAUAUAGGCGGCUGAUCUGGUGUGAUUCCAGAACCGACGGUUAGAGUCCGGAUGGGAAAAGACG
Molecule: non-coding RNA, 117 nt
Filed under: Candidatus Faecalibacterium intestinipullorum
Lineage: Bacteria; Bacillati; Bacillota; Clostridia; Eubacteriales; Oscillospiraceae
Description: FMN riboswitch (RFN element)
Rfam family: FMN riboswitch aptamer (RFN element)
About the family: The RFN element is a highly conserved domain that is found frequently in the 5'-untranslated regions of prokaryotic mRNAs that encode for flavin mononucleotide (FMN) biosynthesis and transport proteins. This element is a metabolite-dependent riboswitch that directly binds FMN in the absence of proteins.
Source: RNAcentral